Non-coding RNA from Pseudovirgaria hyperparasitica, 90 nucleotides. NCBI's taxonomy places the organism in Eukaryota, Fungi, Ascomycota, Dothideomycetes, Acrospermales, Acrospermaceae. The record is from the annotation of a RefSeq genome assembly.
GCUCCCGUAGCUCAAUCGGUAGAGCGUGAGACUUUUACGAUGUGUGUCGUGGUUAUCUCAAGGCCGCGGGUUCGAGCCCCGCCGGGAGCU